This 716-nucleotide long non-coding RNA is filed under the name Fukomys damarensis (Damara mole-rat). RNAcentral describes it as "lncRNA (ENSFDAG00000021842.1)". The record is from RNAcentral. Lineage: Eukaryota; Metazoa; Chordata; Mammalia; Rodentia; Bathyergidae.
GUUUUAGCCUAUGUAUACCCCACCCUGAAAAAUAAACGGGGCCUUGCUGCGGUAGAGCAUGAGCCUGGAACUAAGUUCGUGAAACUGCUCUCCUGUUGUUCUUCCCCCGGGUUUGGGACCUGCUGGCAGGAUUCUGACAUCGUGGCUCGCGACAAGUGGCGCCCGAACAGGGACCUGAGUAAGAAGGACAUCGAGGAGAGCGCCCUGCGAUCCAGGGCACUACAACAAGAACCUCGACUGAUCCCCGCGGCUCCUGCCGUUAAGUAUGUCUUGUGGAAUAUGGCUUUACAAGUAAGCACCAGUCUCUGACUCUUCUUACAACUACUGACAUGCAGAAGGCAAAGAUCCAUGAAGUAACUGGGUGACUGUCACAGAGAGAGCAUCGCAGUCAUUCGAACCUCCAUCCAGGGCCAGGACAUUUCCUUCCUUUAUCCAGCUCUCCAAAGACAGUACUAAUCAAUAAACAGACUUUCUAAAGUAACAAAAGUAAGCAAAUUUACAUUAACUGAGGAUAGUUGGAGGGUCACUGGCUUCUCUAGACCUUGUGCUAGUAAGCGAUAGUUUUGAGCACUUUAUACAGUGUCUGUAUUUAAUUAGCCCAUUAUUUUAUUUGUACAUAAAAGCUUGAAACAAGUUGUUUUAAUUCUCAUUAUUACAUCAAUAUGGAUUGUUAUUCUUGGCUUUGACAUAACUGGAAAUCUGAACCAAAAUUUCCC